Molecule: ribosomal RNA, 489 nt
Filed under: uncultured bacterium
Lineage: Bacteria
Description: partial 16S ribosomal RNA
Rfam family: Bacterial small subunit ribosomal RNA
Source: RNAcentral
GACGAACGCUGGCGGCGUGCUUAACACAUGCCAGUCGAACGGAAAGGCCCUGCUUUUGUGGGGUGCUCGAGUGGCGAACGGGUGAGUAACACGUGAGUAACCUGCCCUUGACUUUGGGAUAACUUCAGGAAACUGGGGCUAAUACCGGAUAGGAGCUCCUGCUGCAUGGUGGGGGUUGGAAAGUUUCGGCGGUUGGGGAUGGACUCGCGGCUUAUCAGCUUGUUGGUGGGGUAGUGGCUUACCAAGGCUUUGACGGGUAGCCGGCCUGAGAGGGUGACCGGCCACACUGGGACGGAGAGACGGCGAAGAGGCCUACGGGAGGCAGCAGGAGGGAAUCUGCGGCAAUGGACGGGAGGGUGAGCGAGCAACGCCGCGUGAGUGAAGAAGGGUGGCGGAUCGUAAAGCUCGGUUGUAAGAGAAGAACGAGGGUGAGAGUGGAAAGUUCACACUGUGACGGUAUCUGACCAGAAAGGGACGGCUAACUACGUG